This 497-nucleotide ribosomal RNA is filed under the name uncultured bacterium. RNAcentral describes it as "partial 16S ribosomal RNA". It matches the Rfam family "Bacterial small subunit ribosomal RNA", at positions 28 to 507 of the family's 1533-position model. The record is from RNAcentral.
GAUGAACGCUGGCGGCGUGCCUAAUACAUGCAAGUCGAGCGAACAGACGAGGAGCUUGCUCCUUCGACGUUAGCGGCGGACGGGUGAGUAACACGUAGGUAACCUACCUAUAAGACUGGGAUAGCUUCGGGAAACCGGAGCUAAUACCGGAUAAUAUUUCGAACCGCAUGGUUCGAUAGUGAAAGAUGGCUUUGCUAUCACUUAUAGAUGGACCUGCGCCGUAUUAGCUAGUUGGUAAGGUAACGGCUUACCAAGGCAACGAUACGUAGCCGACCUGAGAGGGUGAUCGGCCACACUGUAACUGAGACACGGUCCAGACUCCUACGGGAGGCAGCAGUAGGGAAUCUUCCGCAAUGGGCGAAAGCCUGACGGAGCAACGCCGCGUGAGUGAUGAAGGUCUUCGGAUCGUAAAACUCUGUUAUUAGGGAAGAACAAACGUGUAAUUAACUGUGCACGUCUUGACGGUACCUAAUCAGAAAGCCACGGCUAACUACGUG